AGUAAGGUGGCUGAAAUUAAUAGGUGAUAAAUUGUAAAUUUAUUUAUAAAUAGAAAUAUUUUCUUACUA
RNAcentral lists this transfer RNA (69 nucleotides) under Melanotrichia acclivopennis. Its description in RNAcentral is "tRNA-Tyr". The record is from RNAcentral. Lineage: Eukaryota; Metazoa; Arthropoda; Insecta; Trichoptera; Xiphocentronidae.